Molecule: ribosomal RNA, 288 nt
Filed under: Triticum aestivum (bread wheat)
Lineage: Eukaryota; Viridiplantae; Streptophyta; Magnoliopsida; Poales; Poaceae
Description: partial small subunit ribosomal RNA
Source: RNAcentral
AUGGGGGCACCGCAUGUUCUUUCAAACGCGUAUGGCGCUUCGACUGCCUCGAAGAGAUCGGCAGCCCUCGCUGCCAUGGACCGCCGAGAGCUGUGGAACUAUGAACAUGUAGGGCCAAGCAGGGUACCUGGAGAGCAUGAAGGCGAUGUUUGUGUCGCCGGAAGGGAGGGGGAUCACUGUCGACGUGGUGAUGUGGAGGUCCUGCAUGAGCACACACACACACCAGGACAGAGUACCGGAGGUGCGCUUAGAAGGACCGACAGCAUACUGGGAAGGCGUUCCAGGUGA